UGUUCAUUAAAUGUGGACUAGUAUGAACGGCAUCACGAGGGUUAUACUGUCUCCCUUUUCCCAUCAAUGAAACUGAUCUACCCGUGAAGAAGCGGGUAUAAAAAUAUAAGACGAGAAGACCCCAUGGAGCUUUAAACUCAGAAACACUAUUAUAAACAAACCUUAAAAAUAAACACCCUGAUUUCUAGUUUUUGGUUGGGGCGACCGCGGAGAAUAAAAAAACCUCCACGAUGAACGGAUUAACCUCCUUAUCUAAGAGCAACAACUCUAAGAAUCAACACAUUGACAAAAAUGAUCCAAAAAUUUUGAUCAACGAACCAAGUUACCCUGGGGAUAACAGCGCAAUCCAUUUCAAGAGCUCCUAUCGACAAAUGGGUUUACGACCUCGAUGUUGGAUCAGGGUUCCCCAAGUGGUGCAGCCGCUACUUAAGGUUCGUUUGUUCAACGAUUAAAAC
Molecule: ribosomal RNA, 455 nt
Filed under: Kalophrynus nubicola
Lineage: Eukaryota; Metazoa; Chordata; Amphibia; Anura; Microhylidae
Description: partial 16S ribosomal RNA
Rfam family: Bacterial large subunit ribosomal RNA
Source: RNAcentral